GAGUUUGAUCCUGGCUCAGGACGAACGCUGGCGGCACGCUUAAAACAUGCAAGUCGAACGUGAAGCCCGGGCUUGCCCGGGUGGAAAGUGGCGAACGGGUGCGUAACACGUGAGCAACCUGCCCCGAAGACCGGGAUAACACCGGGAAACCGGUGCUAAUACCGGAUGCCUUCACCAUGUCGCAUGGCGAGGUGAAGAAAUGGAUUCCGCUUCGGGAUGGGCUCGCGGCCUAUCAGCUUGUUGGUGGGGUAACGGCCUACCAAGGCAACGACGGGUAGCUGGUCUGAGAGGAUGUCCAGCCACACUGGGACUGAGACACGGCCCAGACUCCUACGGGAGGCAGCAGUUAGGAAUCUUGCGCAAUGGGCGAAAGCCUGACGCAGCGAUGCCGCGUGCGGGAUGAAGGCCUUCGGGUCGUAAACCGCUUUCAGCAGGGACGAUGAUGACGGUACCUGCAGAAGAAGCCCCGGCCAACUACGUGCCAGCAGCCGCGGUAAUACA
Molecule: ribosomal RNA, 501 nt
Filed under: uncultured actinomycete
Lineage: Bacteria; Bacillati; Actinomycetota; Actinomycetes; Actinomycetales
Description: bacterial SSU rRNA
Rfam family: Bacterial small subunit ribosomal RNA
Source: RNAcentral